CCUACGGGAGGCAGCAGUGAGGAAUAUUGGUCAAUGGGCGGGAGCCUGAACCAGCCAAGUCGCGUGAGGGAAGACGGUCCUAGGGAUUGUAAACCUCUUUAGGCGGGGAGCAAUGCCGGGCACGCGUGCCCGGAGGCAGAGUACCCUCCGAAUAAGCAUCCGCUAACUCCGGGCCAGCAGCCGCGGUAAUACGGUGGAUUCGAGGGUUAUCCGGCUUUGUUGGGUUUAAAAGGUUGGUGGGCGGAUUGUUAAGUCAGCGGUAAAAUGGCGGGGUUAAACCCGGGACGGCCGUUGAAACUGGGGAGCUUGAGUGGGCGAGAAGUAUGCGGAAUGCGUGGUGUAGCGGUGAAAUGCAUAGAUAUCACGAAGAACUCCGAUUGCGAAGGCAGCAUACCGGAGCCCGACUGACGCUGAGGCACGAAAGCGUGGGGAUCGAACAGGAUUAGAUACCCGAGUAGUC
Molecule: ribosomal RNA, 460 nt
Filed under: uncultured bacterium
Lineage: Bacteria
Description: partial 16S ribosomal RNA
Rfam family: Bacterial small subunit ribosomal RNA
Source: RNAcentral